Molecule: ribosomal RNA, 505 nt
Filed under: uncultured bacterium
Lineage: Bacteria
Description: partial 16S ribosomal RNA
Rfam family: Bacterial small subunit ribosomal RNA
Source: RNAcentral
AGUGAACGCUGGCGGUAGGCCUAACGCAUGCAAGUCGAACGGCAGCACAGAGGAGCUUGCUCCUUGGGUGGCGAGUGGCGGACGGGUGAGGAAUACAUCGGAAUCUACUCUGUCGUGGGGGAUAACGUAGGGAAACUUACGCUAAUACCGCAUACGACCUACGGGUGAAAGCAGGGGAUCUUCGGACCCUGCGCGAUUGAAUGAGCCGAUGUCGGAUUAGCUAGUUGGCGGGUAAAGGCCCACCAAGGCGACGAUCCGUAGCUGGUCUGAGAGGAUGAUCAGCCACACUGGAACUGAGACACGGUCCAGACUCCUACGGGAGGCAGCAGUGGGGAAUAUUGGACAAUGGGCGCAAGCCUGAUCCAGUCAUACCGCGUGGGUGAAGAAGGCCUUCGGGUUGUAAAGCCCUUUUGUUGGGAAAGAAAUCCAUCUGGUUAAUACCCGGAUGGGAUGACGGUACCCAAAGAAUAAGCACCGACUAACUUCGUGCCAGCCGCCGCGGUAA